CCUACGGGUGGCAGCAGUGAGGAAUAUUGGUCAAUGGACGAGAGGCUGAACCAGCCAAGUAGCGUGAAGGAUGACUGCCCUAUGGGUUGUAACCUUCUUUUAUAUGGGAAUAAAAUGUUCCACGUGUGGGAUUUUGUAUGUACCAUAUGAAUAAGGAUCGGCUAACUCCGUGCCAGCAGCCGCGGUAAUACGGAGGAUCCGAGCGUUGUCCGGAUUUAUUGGGUUUAAAGGGAGCGUAGGUGGGUUGUUAAGUCAGUUGUGAAAGUUUGCGGCUCAACCGUAAAAUUGCAGUUGAAACUGGCAGUCUUGAGUACAGUAGAGGUGGGCGGAAUUCGUGGUGUAGCGGUGAAAUGCUUAGAUAUCACGAAGAACUCCGAUUGCGAAGGCAGCUCACUGGACUGCAACUGACACUGAGGCUCGAAAGUGUGGGUAUCAAACAGGAUUAGAUACCCCAGUAGUC
RNAcentral lists this ribosomal RNA (460 nucleotides) under uncultured bacterium. RNAcentral describes it as "partial 16S ribosomal RNA". It matches the Rfam family "Bacterial small subunit ribosomal RNA", at positions 338 to 795 of the family's 1533-position model. The record is from RNAcentral.